GGCUGCUGUCCUUGUGCUGAGCGCUGAUGCCAGCCUGGGGGGCCAAGACUUCAUCUGCGUGGCCACCCACCCACUGCGGGUGGCUGCUGCUCAGUGUCACCUCCGGCUUGACAUCCCCAAGCUGGAGGUGGAGCGGAGCGAGGUGGCGGUGCUGGAGGGUGGUGAGGCGCGGCUGGCGUGCCGGUGGUGCGGUGUCACCCACCUGGGUGCCGAAAUGGUCUGGUACGACCCCCAGGAGCGGGAGGUGCCACCGGGCAUGGCUAAGUACUGGCUGGAGCAGGAUGAAGCGUGGGCCAACCUCACUGUCCGGGAUGCCGAGUGGCCGGGGGAUGGUGGGACCUACCGCUGCACUGCAGCCAACGCCGUGGGCACCACCAGCCUCCCCGUCCACCUCCGUGUAGACCGGUACCCAGCCCCUCCCAACGUCACCAUCAGCAAGCUGCGGUACACGCGGGCACGAACCGAGGUGCGGCUGGAGUGGCGGACGCAGGGCACGGGCAACCUCACCGGCUUUGUGGUGCAACGGCGGCAGGCAAAGAAGCCCCAGCGCCGGGCCCCAGGCCCCUGGGAAACAGCCGCCGGUGACAUCGAGCCCCACUCCCGUGACCGGCGCCUGGGGGGGCUGGACCCCACUGUGGUCUAUGCCUUCCGCGUCCUGGCUGUCAACCACCGCACGGCCGGGCACCCCUCUGAGGUGCAGACGCCAGCUGAGCCUCCCUUCGAGGCACUCCCCGCAGUGACGGGGGCGGCGGUGGUGGGGAUGCUGGUGGCCACUGCGGUGUCUCUGCUGGCUGUGCGCUGCGUCGCCCGCCACCGGGACAACCUGCCACGGCUGCACAACCUACUCUUCCACACGGCCAGCCCUGAAGCCCCAGAGAUCCCCAGCACGACCGAGGAUGCUCCAGGAGCCACAAACAGGGAGGACAGAGCAGAACAGGGACAGGGAGAUGCAGGUGGCCCCAGCACAACAGCCUCAGCAGAGCCUCUCUCAGCCCUGCCAGAUGCUGCCGCUGCCGACCUGCCGGUUGAUGUCCCCAUCGUGGUGAUGGCCACGCCAUGA
RNAcentral lists this long non-coding RNA (1060 nucleotides) under Anas platyrhynchos platyrhynchos (common mallard). RNAcentral's name for it is "lncRNA (ENSAPLG00000017534.1)". The record is from RNAcentral. Lineage: Eukaryota; Metazoa; Chordata; Aves; Anseriformes; Anatidae.